RNAcentral lists this ribosomal RNA (514 nucleotides) under uncultured bacterium. Its description in RNAcentral is "bacterial SSU rRNA". It matches the Rfam family "Bacterial small subunit ribosomal RNA", at positions 126 to 674 of the family's 1533-position model. The record is from RNAcentral.
CUACCCAGAUCUACGGAACAACAGAGGGAAACUUCUGCUAAUACCGUAUACGCCCUACGGGGGAAAGAUUUAUCGGAUUUGGAUGAGCCCGCGUAAGAUUAGCUAGUUGGUGAGGUAAUGGCUCACCAAGGCGACGAUCUUUAGCUGGUCUGAGAGGAUGAUCAGCCACACUGGGACUGAGACACGGCCCAGACUCCUACGGGAGGCAGCAGUGGGGAAUAUUGGACAAUGGGCGCAAGCCUGAUCCAGCCAUGCCGCGUGAGUGAUGAAGGCCUUAGGGUUGUAAAGCUCUUUCAGUGGGGAAGAUAAUGACGGUACCCACAGAAGAAGCCCCGGCUAACUUCGUGCCAGCAGCCGCGGUAAUACGAAGGGGGCUAGCGUUGUUCGGAUUUACUGGGCGUAAAGCGCACGUAGGCGGUUUGUUAAGUCAGAGGUGAAAUCCUGGAGCUCAACUCCAGAACUGCCUUUGAUACUGGCAAGCUCGAGUCCGGAAGAGGUAAGUGGAACUCCUAGU